CGUAGGGUUAGUAGUUAACCAUUGGUCAGUCGUUCAUAUACCGUCCUUUCGGCACAAUUAUAUAUGUCCUCUUUCAAGUGCUUCGUAUAUAUACUAGAGUUCGUUUCAGUUUCUCCUUAUUAUCGAUUAUAUAAAAUUAGUGCGAUACAACAUCGUAGUUAGUCAACAAAGAAGAAUUUUGCCUCUGUUGUCUUUUGUGUCGGUAGGAAAAUUCAUGAAUUUAAUAAUCGAAAUAAAAUACGCUUCAGAUUAAUUACAUAGGUAUCUUUGAAUGCGACAUAUAUAGUGUCGCAUGAUGUUCACAAUUAAAAUGAGAAAGUGCCGAAACGAUGGAGGAAUAAUAGCGGUUUGAAGCAAAAACUUAUCCUAUGCGCAUGAGUCAACAAGUUUGUAUCAAGUGUAGAUAACCUUAUACAAAUACUUGAAUACCAUAACCAAACUUGAUUAUCACUAAACUUCAAAAAUUGCGUAGAUGUGGCGAGAAAUAUAAAAACACAGCAGGUUAAAAUAGAUAAGAACCGAAACUAAUGUCGAUUAUACAAUCGAUGAUUAAGCAAAGCAACUGGAUCCAGGUUAUAGGUUAACGAGCGCCAACCACAAUUCAUGGAAACAAUACGAAAAGUAUGAAGAAAGGAAAGGAAACCAUAUUUUGGUGACUGGUUCAAUUACCAAGUAAAAUGGAGAUAAGAAGUUGGAAUGCUGCCUCCGAGACACCUAUGGUAUCGGAGAUGCUCGACAAUACACUGCCAGACAUUGCCAGUCCUUGAACUUGAUCUACUUCUAAAAUUAAAUAUUUAUAAUUUUUCGCAGAGAUACUGUAACUCGUCACCACCGAGGUUAUCAAAGUUUAAAACUAAAGAGACGAUCAGAAGGAGAAAAUGAACUUCACGUAAUGGUCAGAAAAGCGUUCGGAAAUACGCUCAAUUAACGUGGAGAAAUAUUCAACCGGGAGAUGUUUUCAAAGGAAGAAUUACGUUUUUAUAUUACAUAUCUACUUAUAAGUUACGAAAUCGUCAACAGUUUAGCUUCGAAUUUGUAUCUAUAAAAAACAGUCAACACUUCAGUUAAUUUAGGAACGCUCGUAAAUGCACAAGCAUGAACCCACCUGUCAUUAUGAUAUAGCGUCAUUUGUUACAGACUUAAUUUCGAUUUUGUUUCGGUUGCAUAUAUCAAUAGCAAAUUACAGAUUUGCAUAAUCAUGCACAGAAAUUUAAAAUUAUAAUACAUUUCUCAAAUUCUUUGUAAACAACUUGCCUUAAUUAAAAUAAAAGACUACGAUACAUGUUGCAAUAUAUAAAAUGACACCAUUGUAAAUUUAUUUGUAAUAAGUGUUUGUGUACGCAAAUGUAUGCACUUGUAAAUAGCUAAUAUAGUUAUAAAUAUUAAUGAUAGAAAAUAUAUCUUUUCAAUAUUUUA
Molecule: long non-coding RNA, 1416 nt
Organism: Megalopta genalis
Lineage: Eukaryota; Metazoa; Arthropoda; Insecta; Hymenoptera; Halictidae
Source: RefSeq, a predicted model, not a curated record